Strongyloides venezuelensis is the source of this 72-nucleotide transfer RNA. It matches the Rfam family "tRNA". From Rfam's summary of the family: Transfer RNA (tRNA) molecules are approximately 80 nucleotides in length. Their secondary structure includes four short double-helical elements and three loops (D, anti-codon, and T loops). Further hydrogen bonds mediate the characteristic L-shaped molecular structure. tRNAs have two regions of fundamental functional importance: the anti-codon, which is responsible for specific mRNA codon recognition, and the 3' end, to which the tRNAs corresponding amino acid is attached (by aminoacyl-tRNA synthetases). tRNAs cope with the degeneracy of the genetic code in two manners: having more than one tRNA (with a specific anti-codon) for a particular amino acid; and 'wobble' base-pairing, i.e. permitting non-standard base-pairing at the 3rd anti-codon position. The record is from Rfam. NCBI's taxonomy places the organism in Eukaryota, Metazoa, Nematoda, Chromadorea, Rhabditida, Strongyloididae.
UCUCUGGUAGUAUAGUGGUGAGUAUCCGCGCCUGUCACGUGCGAGACCGGGGUUCGAUUCCCCGCCAGAGAG